RNAcentral lists this ribosomal RNA (482 nucleotides) under uncultured bacterium. RNAcentral's name for it is "partial 16S ribosomal RNA". It matches the Rfam family "Bacterial small subunit ribosomal RNA", at positions 30 to 507 of the family's 1533-position model. The record is from RNAcentral.
AUUGAACGCUGGCGGCAUGCCUUACACAUGCAAAUCGAACGGUAACGGGCCUUCGGGUGCCGACGAGUGGCGAACGGGUGAGUAAUACAUCGGAACGUGCCCGAUCGUGGGGGAUAACGAGGCGAAAGCUUUGCUAAUACCGCAUACGAUCUACGGAUGAAAGCAGGGGACCGCAAGGCCUUGCGCGGACGGAGCGGCCGAUGGCAGAUUAGGUAGUUGGUGGGAUAAAAGCUUACCAAGCCGACGAUCUGUAGCUGGUCUGAGAGGAUGAUCAGCCACACUGGGACUGAGACACGGCCCAGACUCCUACGGGAGGCAGCAGUGGGGAAUGUUGGACAAUGGGCGCAAGCCUGAUCCAGCCAUGCCGCGUGCAGGAUGAAGGCCUUCGGGUUGUAAACUGAUUUUGUACGGAACGAAAAGCCUUCUUUUAAUACAGGGGGGUCAUGACGGUACCGUAAGAAUAAGCACCGGCUAACUACGUG